RNAcentral lists this ribosomal RNA (1324 nucleotides) under Curtobacterium sp. RNAcentral's name for it is "bacterial SSU rRNA". It matches the Rfam family "Bacterial small subunit ribosomal RNA", at positions 57 to 1390 of the family's 1533-position model. The record is from RNAcentral. Lineage: Bacteria; Bacillati; Actinomycetota; Actinomycetes; Micrococcales; Microbacteriaceae.
GCAGUCGAACGAUGAUCACCCAGCUUGCUCCGUGUGGAUUAGUGGCGAACGGGUGAGUAACACGUGAGUAACCUGCCCCUGACUCUGGGAUAAGCGUUGGAAACGACGUCUAAUACUGGAUAUGACUGCCGGCCGCAUGGUCUGGUGGUGGAAAGAUUUUUUGGUUGGGGAUGGACUCGCGGCCUAUCAGCUUGUUGGUGAGGUAAUGGCUCACCAAGGCGACGACGGGUAGCCGGCCUGAGAGGGUGACCGGCCACACUGGGACUGAGACACGGCCCAGACUCCUACGGGAGGCAGCAGUGGGGAAUAUUGCACAAUGGGCGAAAGCCUGAUGCAGCAACGCCGCGUGAGGGAUGACGGCCUUCGGGUUGUAAACCUCUUUUAGUAGGGAAGAAGCGAAAGUGACGGUACCUGCAGAAAAAGCACCGGCUAACUACGUGCCAGCAGCCGCGGUAAUACGUAGGGUGCAAGCGUUGUCCGGAAUUAUUGGGCGUAAAGAGCUCGUAGGCGGUUUGUCGCGUCUGCUGUGAAAUCCCGAGGCUCAACCUCGGGCUUGCAGUGGGUACGGGCAGACUAGAGUGCGGUAGGGGAGAUUGGAAUUCCUGGUGUAGCGGUGGAAUGCGCAGAUAUCAGGAGGAACACCGAUGGCGAAGGCAGAUCUCUGGGCCGUAACUGACGCUGAGGAGCGAAAGCGUGGGGAGCGAACAGGAUUAGAUACCCUGGUAGUCCACGCCGUAAACGUUGGGCGCUAGAUGUAGGGACCUUUCCACGGUUUCUGUGUCGUAGCUAACGCAUUAAGCGCCCCGCCUGGGGAGUACGGCCGCAAGGCUAAAACUCAAAGGAAUUGACGGGGGCCCGCACAAGCGGCGGAGCAUGCGGAUUAAUUCGAUGCAACGCGAAGAACCUUACCAAGGCUUGACAUACACCGGAAACGGCCAGAGAUGGUCGCCCCCUUGUGGUCGGUGUACAGGUGGUGCAUGGUUGUCGUCAGCUCGUGUCGUGAGAUGUUGGGUUAAGUCCCGCAACGAGCGCAACCCUCGUUCUAUGUUGCCAGCGCGUUAUGGCGGGGACUCAUAGGAGACUGCCGGGGUCAACUCGGAGGAAGGUGGGGAUGACGUCAAAUCAUCAUGCCCCUUAUGUCUUGGGCUUCACGCAUGCUACAAUGGCCGGUACAAAGGGCUGCGAUACCGUAAGGUGGAGCGAAUCCCAAAAAGCCGGUCUCAGUUCGGAUUGAGGUCUGCAACUCGACCUCAUGAAGUCGGAGUCGCUAGUAAUCGCAGAUCAGCAACGCUGCGGUGAAUACGUUCCCGGGCCUUGUACACAC